This 72-nucleotide transfer RNA is filed under the name Diaphorina citri (Asian citrus psyllid). It matches the Rfam family "tRNA". Rfam says of the family: Transfer RNA (tRNA) molecules are approximately 80 nucleotides in length. Their secondary structure includes four short double-helical elements and three loops (D, anti-codon, and T loops). The record is from Rfam by way of RNAcentral. Lineage: Eukaryota; Metazoa; Arthropoda; Insecta; Hemiptera; Psyllidae.
GCCUCGGUGGUAUAGUGGUCAAGACGCUUGUCUGGUAAACAGAAAGGCGUAGGUUCAAUCCCAGCCGAGGUA